CAGGAUGCCCAGGCAAUCGCGCGGCACGCACCGUUAGCCGGUGUGUGCUUCGAGGAAAGUCCGGGCUCCACAGCACAGGAUGGUGGAUAACGUCCACUCGGGGUAACCCGCAGGCCAGUGCCACAGAAAGCAGACCGCCGUCCCAGCUUGGGGCGGUAAGGGUGAAACGGUGGUGUAAGAGACCACCAGUGGGUGCGGUGACGUGCCCAGCUUGGUAAACCCCAUCCGGAGCAAGGUCAAACAGAACACGCCAUGAUAGGGUAGUGCGCCCGAACCGCUGCGCCAGCUGCGCGCGGGGGUGCGUGUUCGGGUAGACUGCUUGAGGCUCACGGCAACGCGAGUCCUAGAUAGAUGAUUGCCCCGGGCACCCGGUAGAACCAGGCGCCUAUGACAGAACCCGGCUCAUAGGGCAUCCUGCCUC
This 421-nucleotide RNase P RNA is filed under the name Rothia sp. Olga. Its description in RNAcentral is "RNase P RNA component class A". It matches the Rfam family "Bacterial RNase P class A". Rfam says of the family: Ribonuclease P (RNase P) is a ubiquitous endoribonuclease, found in archaea, bacteria and eukarya as well as chloroplasts and mitochondria. Its best characterised activity is the generation of mature 5'-ends of tRNAs by cleaving the 5'-leader elements of precursor-tRNAs. Lineage: Bacteria; Bacillati; Actinomycetota; Actinomycetes; Micrococcales; Micrococcaceae. The record is from RNAcentral.